Long non-coding RNA from Sinocyclocheilus grahami, 510 nucleotides. RefSeq lists it as uncharacterized. The record is from RefSeq and is a predicted model, not a curated record. The transcript has 2 exons. NCBI's taxonomy places the organism in Eukaryota, Metazoa, Chordata, Actinopteri, Cypriniformes, Cyprinidae.
GUCAUUCUAGGCACAUUUUUCACAAAUAUGGAAAAACUCCUUUUUGCAAUACCUCAAUUUUUCACAUUGUGAAAGUGCUGAGGACUCUUUACAACUAAGCACGCACUUGCUUGUGUUGACGCGACAAAUCUGCAGAGGAGAGAUCAAAGUGUAUUGCUUAAGGUCUUGGCUCUUGUACACUAGAUUUUAAUGGCAGCCCUAGAUUCGGAAAUGAUCUGACAGCAGCAUGGUAAGAACACGUUGUCGUUCAUGUUAAUAUUGCGCAAAAUGGCUAAAAGAUAACCUUGUCUUUUUGGUUUCCUCUCCAAAGCUGGAAUAUAAACUUCUAAUAUAAGGAGAAUGCUAAAUCUGGUUCAUGUUUAGGCUGAUCCUCGUAUCAAAAGAAUGGAUGUUUGAUGUUUAGAUAUUUUAACAUUUGAAAAUAUAUAUUCUUGAACUGCCAACUAGUUCCUAUUGUAAUCCUUAGCAUGCAUGAUGAGAAAAAAAAAAACCGUACAUGAAUUAGCUAUU